CGCCUUUGUUUCAGAUUCAAAUAAGAUUUGACAUGAACUUCGCGUCAGGCAGAAGUUCUGUUAUGCUGAGUAUUUGAGUUACAGACAGUACAUAAUAGUAGUACUAAAAGUUAGUACAAAGAUCUGAAACAAAGGCGCUCAAACACCUAGGCCCCCUUUGAAACAGAGAAAAAUCGUUGAAGGACUGAAUUUCUGUAGUGGAAAUUUUCCCACGGUGAUGUUUGGAACAAAGAAUGUCUGGCCAAAAUUCCUAUGAAAUGUGGCAAUCCAUUCAAAUUUUGGAGGAAAACAACCAUGUGGCCUUGACCUCAUGUUUUCUUCCCCUUGUGUUUAAAAUUCAUGUGUUUUUUGGUGUGUGGUAUCCAAACGAGAGUUUGAGUAUUGCCUUGUUUUUAGAUUCCGGUAGGAAAUCAGGUUGCAUGACAUCCUUUUCUUUUUUACUUCCUACGUUCCAAACGGGAACUUACUAGGGGAACAAACAGAUGCCAGAUUAACACAGAACAAUUUGUCGAAUUUCCACCCAAACAGAUCUGCUAAUCCAUGAACGAUGCUCAACAUUGCAUGGUUGGAUUGUGGGCAAUGCAAGCCAAGCCCACACGGCGAUCGAUCUGGAGCAAGAACCGAUGCUGGCCAUCAAUGGACAGAGGAAACGUGCUUCAAAGUGGUCCGCAACGCUAACGAGAAAAUGUUAAAAGCAGAUCGAAGAUGCGUUUCUUUGUUUGUGUCCUGUUGUCAUUCACCAACAUUCCGUGCAGCGAAAACUUUUGUACGCAAGAGGUCAUCAGUUCAUAGCCCGAAGACCUGCCUUAAAUUAGCUCGUGGUUUUGAUGUGAUUUCGGCUCUAAUCCGAUGACCUCGGCGCUAAUCUGGUGACCUGAUUAACAUGCUGAGUGACCGGUCAAUGAAUCUGUUUCAUCAUCUCGAAAAAGAAGAAUGAAUUUGAUACGUCGCUCCAGCUCAGACAGGCAAAUGGUGAAGAAAAUACGCAACGUUGCACACUGCAGAAGAAAUGCUCAGAUAUAUAGCUAUGUCAUCAUGGCUUGGCACCUAUGCGCCUUUGUUUCAGAUUCAAAUAAGAUUUGACAUGAACUUCCAGUCAGGCAAAAGUUCUGUUAUGCUGAGUGUUUGAGCGCCUUUGUUUCAGAUUCAAAUAAGAUUUGACAUGAACUUCGCGUCAGGCAGAAGUUCUGUUAUGCUGAGUAUUUGAGUUACAGACAGUACAUAAUAGUAGUACUAAAAGUUAGUACAAAGAUCUGAACCUAUUGUGUGAUCACACCCUGUCCUAGAUAGAGUACCAAAAAUAAACUAAUGCAACAAUCAACUAGUAGCAUUUCUUUGCAGCGGGAAAAAAAUUCAUCACUAAUUCAUCGUGUCCAUUCGCUUGAGCAAUUCACUGAUAACCCGCUUAAAAUUAUGUACAGGUGUCCCGCUUUCAUCCUUCGCCAGGAACAAUCAGAGGAUGUACCUGAGUACCUCUGGCACGGUCAAAGACAUCGCUUAGGCCAGCACCCCAGCAACCUCCGUUUGCGGCUGGUGGCAACAGAGCACUCAUCAAUAAUGUGAGGAUUCUUGGACACUUAACCAAUUCCAAUUCCAAACGAAGACAACCAACAAUAUAU
RNAcentral lists this long non-coding RNA (1619 nucleotides) under Triticum aestivum (bread wheat). RNAcentral describes it as "long non-coding RNA (TAES_LNC013689)". Lineage: Eukaryota; Viridiplantae; Streptophyta; Magnoliopsida; Poales; Poaceae. The record is from RNAcentral.